This 1598-nucleotide long non-coding RNA is filed under the name Physcomitrium patens. RNAcentral's name for it is "long non-coding RNA (PPAT_LNC002377)". The record is from RNAcentral. Lineage: Eukaryota; Viridiplantae; Streptophyta; Bryopsida; Funariales; Funariaceae.
AUGGACAGCGACGCCAUCUUCACGAACAUGACAUUCGCACUCCCACUUGAGAAAUACAAGGAUCACAACAUGGUAGUCCAGGGGUGGGACAAUGAGCUGUACGACCUCAAGAAUUGGGUGGGACUCAACACAGGUCCGUCGAAAUCUGUUAACAGUUGUCUGAGUGUAAAUUGAGUACUUACAAUCAAUUGAUUAUACUCCUCACAUGUUCGUUUAUUGCCAUGGAAUAGGAGUCAUCCUUCUCCGGAAUUGCCACUGGUCCAUCGACCUUCUCCAUGAAUGGGUGAAAUUUAGCCCCAAAGGUCGAGUGGGGGAAGCUGCCUGAGCCCUGCUGACGGAGGCAUUUCCGGACAGGCCACUCGUCGAUGCAGAGGAUCAAUGAGCCUUAGUCUACUUGCUCAUAACGUAGAGGUACAUGAUCUUACGGACCAUUCGAUUUAUAAACAAGCUAAAUUAGACACUAGAGAAUGUGGACAGUGUUCCUAAGCAUCGAAAGGGUGAUGCAUUCAUGGUGGCGAUGGGCAGCGAAAGUGUACCUGGAGCAUUCGUACCACUUGCAAGGAUUCUUCGAGGUUAGGACGAUGCAGACGCACAGGUAUCCGGGGAUGGGGUACGUGGUGGCCGUUCGUGACGCACUCCACCGGGUGUCAAAUCUGUAUCGGAUUGCCCAAAACACAAUACGACAUCGAGAAUUGUCACCGACACAUGGAGCAAGCUUACAAAAUUGCAAACAAUCAAGUGUUGCAGCAAACUGGCUGGCUUUACUUGUGGCUUCCUCCACAACUCAAUAGUCAAACAUAUCUGACUGCCACCAACAGCAUUCAUAAAAAAAACUAUUACUUACAUAUCAGCAAAUCUUGCGGCUUGGUCCCUGAAACCCCUCGCCUGGCACCCCUACGAUGUCCUCAAUUUUCUACCUCCAUAUUUAAUGGUGUCCUUUAGAUUUUAGACCUCCAGGGAUUGCAAUCAGGAUCCACAAAUUACGUUGAGCGUCUCUGAUCUGGUUGAGCGUGUCUAUUGAAGAGAUGGAGUGGAAUAAUAACUAACCAAAUAGGCAUUGUUGCCUUCAGUGUGAGGUGCCACCUGUCCUUUACGAUGUAGACUUAGCAGUCAGAGGAAGACGAUAGGGCUGCCCUGGUCAGUGCGUGCUUACAAGAUUUUCUCUUGUGAGGACUUUCAUGCAUCUGACACCCAGCAGUAUAUGUCUGUCAACCGGGCAUAUGAACCUGGCGACGUAAGUACUCGCUGUUCUUGAUGAAUGCUGCUUCGCAGCAGGUGCGGCUGGUGAGGAUGCUCAGAACACCCUAUUAGUUGCAACUGCCCUCCGAAGUCAUGUUACUCCGUCUGGUAUGUUUAGUUAUACCCAUUAUGCUCUUUUGCCCUGAGAUCAUAUUCGACGCCCUUCAUGUACAUCCCAGAAGAGUACAAAACGGUUAUCUGGUUUCAUUAUCACCAAAUCUCAGUCACCAAAAAUGAGAGACUUCGGCAUAGUUUGUGACAAUGUACCCAGUUUUCAGCAAAUUUGCAAGGCUGGCUCAUACAGUGCCGUAGUUGCUUCCAAACGGAAAUCUACGAGCGCAAAGUAGAAAAAACCUUCA